This 482-nucleotide ribosomal RNA is filed under the name uncultured bacterium. Its description in RNAcentral is "partial 16S ribosomal RNA". It matches the Rfam family "Bacterial small subunit ribosomal RNA", at positions 30 to 507 of the family's 1533-position model. The record is from RNAcentral.
AUUGAACGCUGGCGGCAUGCUUUACACAUGCAAGUCGAACGGUAACAGGCCGCAAGGUGCUGACGAGUGGCGAACGGGUGAGUAAUGCAUCGGAACGUGCCCAGUCGUGGGGGAUAACUACUCGAAAGAGUAGCUAAUACCGCAUACGAUCUAUGGAUGAAAGCGGGGGACCGUAAGGCCUCGCGCGAUUGGAGCGGCCGAUGUCAGAUUAGGUAGUUGGUGGGGUAAAGGCUCACCAAGCCAACGAUCUGUAGCUGGUCUGAGAGGACGACCAGCCACGCUGGGACUGAGACACGGCCCAGACUCCUACGGGAGGCAGCAGUGGGGAAUUUUGGACAAUGGGCGCAAGCCUGAUCCAGCAAUGCCGCGUGCAGGAAGAAGGCCUUCGGGUUGUAAACUGCUUUUGUACGGAACGAAACGGCUCUGGUUAAUACCCGGGGCUAAUGACGGUACCGUAAGAAUGAGCACCGGCUAACUACGUG